GACGAACGCUGGCGGCGUGCUUAACACAUGCAAGUCGAACGGAAAGGCCCUGCUUUUGUGGGGUGCUCGAGUGGCGAACGGGUGAGUAACACGUGAGUAACCUGCCCUUGACUUUGGGAUAACUUCAGGAAACUGGGGCUAAUACCGGAUAGGAGCUCCUGCUGCAUGGUGGGGGUUGGAAAGUUUCGGCGGUUGGGGAUGGACUCGCGGCUUAUCAGCUUGUUGGUGGGGUAGUGGCCUACCAAGGCUUUGACGGGUAGCCGGCCUGAGAGGGUGACCGGCCACAUUGGGACUGAGAUACGGCCCAGACCCCUACGGGAGGCAGCAGUGGGGAAUAUUGCACAAUGGGCGGAAGCCUGAUGCAGCAACGCCGCGUGCGGGAUGACGGCCUUCGGGUUGUAAACCGCUUUCGCCUGUGACGAAGCGUGAGUGACGGUAAUGGGUAAAGAAGCACCGGCUAACUACGUG
RNAcentral lists this ribosomal RNA (468 nucleotides) under uncultured bacterium. RNAcentral's name for it is "partial 16S ribosomal RNA". It matches the Rfam family "Bacterial small subunit ribosomal RNA", at positions 28 to 507 of the family's 1533-position model. The record is from RNAcentral.